Podarcis lilfordi (Lilford's wall lizard) is the source of this 145-nucleotide non-coding RNA. The record is from the annotation of a GenBank genome assembly. Lineage: Eukaryota; Metazoa; Chordata; Lepidosauria; Squamata; Lacertidae.
UCCAACUGAACACUUCUACUAGUCAAGGUCUUUUAGUUGUGCAAUGAAACUUCCCUGCCCUCUCCUAUCCCCAUGUACCCCCUAAAUCUGUUAUGGUUCCAUUGUGCAGCCAAAAUAUCUUGAAUAGCAGAAGUGUUUAGUUGGA